Molecule: ribosomal RNA, 433 nt
Filed under: uncultured bacterium
Lineage: Bacteria
Description: partial 16S ribosomal RNA
Rfam family: Bacterial small subunit ribosomal RNA
Source: RNAcentral
AACGAACGCUGGCGGCAUGCCUAACACAUGCAAGUCGAACGAGACCUUCGGGUCUAGUGGCGCACGGGUGCGUAACGCGUGGGAACCUGCCCUUAGGUUCGGAAUAACUCCCCGAAAGGGGUGCUAAUACCGGAUAAUGUCUUCGGACCAAAGAUUUAUCGCCUUUGGAUGGGCCCGCGUUGGAUUAGCUAGUUGGUAGGGUAAAAGCCUACCAAGGCGACGAUCCAUAGCUGGUCUGAGAGGAUGAUCAGCCACACUGGGACGGAGACACGGCCCAGACUCCUACGGGAGGGAGCAGUGGGGAAUAUUGGACAAGGGGCGAAAGCCUGAUCCAGCAAUGCCGCGUGAGUGAUGAAGGCCUUAGGGUUGUAAAGCUCUUUUACCCGGGAUGAUAAUGACAGUACCGGGAGAAUAAGCUCCGGCUAACUCCGUG